AUACGGAGGGUGCAAGCGUUAUCUGGAUUCAUUGGGUUUAAAGGGUGCGCAGGCGGAAUGAUAAGUCAGUGGUGAAAUCCUACAGCUUAACUGUAGAACUGCCAUUGAUACUGUCAUUCUUGAGUACACUUGAAGUGGGCGGAAUGUAUCAUGUAGCGGUGAAAUGCAUAGAUAUGAUACAGAACUCCGAUAGCGAAGGCAGCUCACUAAAUUGUAACUGACGCUCAGGCACGAAAGCGUGGGGAGCAAACAGGAUUAGAAACCCUAGUAGUCC
Molecule: ribosomal RNA, 274 nt
Filed under: uncultured bacterium
Lineage: Bacteria
Description: partial 16S ribosomal RNA
Rfam family: Bacterial small subunit ribosomal RNA
Source: RNAcentral